GGGAGGCAGCAGUGGGGAAUAUUGCACAAUGGGCGCAAGCCUGAUGCAGCCAUGCCGCGUGUGUGAAGAAGGCCUUCGGGUUGUAAAGCACUUUCAGCGGGGAGGAAGGCGUUAAGGUUAAUAACCUUGGCGAUUGACGUUACCCGCAGAAGAAGCACCGGCUAACUCCGUGCCAGCAGCCGCGGUAAUACGGAGGGUGCAAGCGUUAAUCGGAAUUACUGGGCGUAAAGCGCACGCAGGC
This 241-nucleotide ribosomal RNA is filed under the name Klebsiella pneumoniae. RNAcentral's name for it is "partial 16S ribosomal RNA". It matches the Rfam family "Bacterial small subunit ribosomal RNA", at positions 343 to 576 of the family's 1533-position model. The record is from RNAcentral. Lineage: Bacteria; Pseudomonadati; Pseudomonadota; Gammaproteobacteria; Enterobacterales; Enterobacteriaceae. RNAcentral also lists the same sequence under 7 other names.